Molecule: ribosomal RNA, 2919 nt
Filed under: Staphylococcus aureus subsp. aureus CIG1233
Lineage: Bacteria; Bacillati; Bacillota; Bacilli; Caryophanales; Staphylococcaceae
Description: bacterial LSU rRNA
Rfam family: Bacterial large subunit ribosomal RNA
Source: RNAcentral
UAAGUUAUUAAGGGCGCACGGUGGAUGCCUUGGCACUAGAAGCCGAUGAAGGACGUUACUAACGACGAUAUGCUUUGGGGAGCUGUAAGUAAGCUUUGAUCCAGAGAUUUCCGAAUGGGGAAACCCAGCAUGAGUUAUGUCAUGUUAUCGAUAUGUGAAUACAUAGCAUAUCAGAAGGCACACCCGGAGAACUGAAACAUCUUAGUACCCGGAGGAAGAGAAAGAAAAUUCGAUUCCCUUAGUAGCGGCGAGCGAAACGGGAAGAGCCCAAACCAACAAGCUUGCUUGUUGGGGUUGUAGGACACUCUAUACGGAGUUACAAAGGACGACAUUAGACGAAUCAUCUGGAAAGAUGAAUCAAAGAAGGUAAUAAUCCUGUAGUCGAAAAUGUUGUCUCUCUUGAGUGGAUCCUGAGUACGACGGAGCACGUGAAAUUCCGUCGGAAUCUGGGAGGACCAUCUCCUAAGGCUAAAUACUCUCUAGUGACCGAUAGUGAACCAGUACCGUGAGGGAAAGGUGAAAAGCACCCCGGAAGGGGAGUGAAAUAGAACCUGAAACCGUGUGCUUACAAGUAGUCAGAGCCCGUUAAUGGGUGAUGGCGUGCCUUUUGUAGGAUGAACCGGCGAGUUACGAUUUGAUGCAAGGUUAAGCAGUAAAUGUGGAGCCGUAGCGAAAGCGAGUCUGAAUAGGGGCUUUUAGUAUUUGGUCGUAGACCCGAAACCAGGUGAUCUACCCUUGGUCAGGUUGAAGUUCAGGUAACACUGAAUGGAGGACCGAACCGACUUACGUUGAAAAGUGAGCGGAUGAACUGAGGGUAGCGGAGAAAUUCCAAUCGAACCUGGAGAUAGCUGGUUCUCUCCGAAUAGCUUUAGGGCUAGCCUCAAGUGAUGAUUAUUGGAGGUAGAGCACUGUUUGGACGAGGGGCCCCUCUCGGGUUACCGAAUUCAGACAAACUCCGAAUGCCAAUUAAUUUAACUUGGGAGUCAGAACAUGGGUGAUAAGGUCCGUGUUCGAAAGGGAAACAGCCCAGACCACCAGCUAAGGUCCCAAAAUAUAUGUUAAGUGGAAAAGGAUGUGGCGUUGCCCAGACAACUAGGAUGUUGGCUUAGAAGCAGCCAUCAUUUAAAGAGUGCGUAAUAGCUCACUAGUCGAGUGACACUGCGCCGAAAAUGUACCGGGGCUAAACAUAUUACCGAAGCUGUGGAUUGUCCUUUGGACAAUGGUAGGAGAGCGUUCUAAGGGCGUUGAAGCAUGAUCGUAAGGACAUGUGGAGCGCUUAGAAGUGAGAAUGCCGGUGUGAGUAGCGAAAGACGGGUGAGAAUCCCGUCCACCGAUUGACUAAGGUUUCCAGAGGAAGGCUCGUCCGCUCUGGGUUAGUCGGGUCCUAAGCUGAGGCCGACAGGCGUAGGCGAUGGAUAACAGGUUGAUAUUCCUGUACCACCUAUAAUCGUUUUAAUCGAUGGGGGGACGCAGUAGGAUAGGCGAAGCGUGCGAUUGGAUUGCACGUCUAAGCAGUAAGGCUGAGUAUUAGGCAAAUCCGGUACUCAUUAAGGCUGAGCUGUGAUGGGGAGAAGACAUUGUGUCUUCGAGUCGUUGAUUUCACACUGCCGAGAAAAGCCUCUAGAUAGAAAAUAGGUGCCCGUACCGCAAACCGACACAGGUAGUCAAGAUGAGAAUUCUAAGGUGAGCGAGCGAACUCUCGUUAAGGAACUCGGCAAAAUGACCCCGUAACUUCGGGAGAAGGGGUGCUCUUUAGGGUUAACGCCCAGAAGAGCCGCAGUGAAUAGGCCCAAGCGACUGUUUAUCAAAAACACAGGUCUCUGCUAAACCGUAAGGUGAUGUAUAGGGGCUGACGCCUGCCCGGUGCUGGAAGGUUAAGAGGAGUGGUUAGCUUCUGCGAAGCUACGAAUCGAAGCCCCAGUAAACGGCGGCCGUAACUAUAACGGUCCUAAGGUAGCGAAAUUCCUUGUCGGGUAAGUUCCGACCCGCACGAAAGGCGUAACGAUUUGGGCACUGUCUCAACGAGAGACUCGGUGAAAUCAUAGUACCUGUGAAGAUGCAGGUUACCCGCGACAGGACGGAAAGACCCCGUGGAGCUUUACUGUAGCCUGAUAUUGAAAUUCGGCACAGCUUGUACAGGAUAGGUAGGAGCCUUUGAAACGUGAGCGCUAGCUUACGUGGAGGCGCUGGUGGGAUACUACCCUAGCUGUGUUGGCUUUCUAACCCGCACCACUUAUCGUGGUGGGAGACAGUGUCAGGCGGGCAGUUUGACUGGGGCGGUCGCCUCCUAAAAGGUAACGGAGGCGCUCAAAGGUUCCCUCAGAAUGGUUGGAAAUCAUUCAUAGAGUGUAAAGGCAUAAGGGAGCUUGACUGCGAGACCUACAAGUCGAGCAGGGUCGAAAGACGGACUUAGUGAUCCGGUGGUUCCGCAUGGAAGGGCCAUCGCUCAACGGAUAAAAGCUACCCCGGGGAUAACAGGCUUAUCUCCCCCAAGAGUUCACAUCGACGGGGAGGUUUGGCACCUCGAUGUCGGCUCAUCGCAUCCUGGGGCUGUAGUCGGUCCCAAGGGUUGGGCUGUUCGCCCAUUAAAGCGGUACGCGAGCUGGGUUCAGAACGUCGUGAGACAGUUCGGUCCCUAUCCGUCGUGGGCGUAGGAAAUUUGAGAGGAGCUGUCCUUAGUACGAGAGGACCGGGAUGGACAUACCUCUGGUGUACCAGUUGUCGUGCCAACGGCAUAGCUGGGUAGCUAUGUGUGGACGGGAUAAGUGCUGAAAGCAUCUAAGCAUGAAGCCCCCCUCAAGAUGAGAUUUCCCAACUUCGGUUAUAAGAUCCCUCAAAGAUGAUGAGGUUAAUAGGUUCGAGGUGGAAGCAUGGUGACAUGUGGAGCUGACGAAUACUAAUCGAUCGAAGACUUAAUCA